This 324-nucleotide long non-coding RNA is filed under the name Androctonus crassicauda. The record is from RNAcentral. Lineage: Eukaryota; Metazoa; Arthropoda; Arachnida; Scorpiones; Buthidae.
CUGAAUGAUUAUAUUUUAUUUCAAAAUUCGUUUCUAAAAAUAUUUAAUUAUUUUUGCCACAUUUGGCAAAAAUUGUAAAAGGAAAUAAUGUCAUAGAAAUUUCAACAAAAAAAAAAGAAUGUCUGCAGAUGAAGAACCUCUCUUCCUAGUUCCACAGUCCUCUUUCUCUCUGUUCCUAGUUCCACAGUCAAUGAUGAAUCACAUUUUUCUGCCAAAGAGAAGUAUAAAAGUUUUCAGUUCCUUGUUGAAGGCAUUCCUGAUUAUGUUCUUGGUCAACAAGUUCGAUGCUGUUGGUCAGUGCCAGGUUCCCAUUAUAUUGUCCCC